This 247-nucleotide unclassified non-coding RNA is filed under the name Hevea brasiliensis (rubber tree). Lineage: Eukaryota; Viridiplantae; Streptophyta; Magnoliopsida; Malpighiales; Euphorbiaceae. The record is from RNAcentral.
GCACUUUCUUUUCUAGGCCAUGGGCCAAUUUGUAAUGGGCUUUAAGCCUCUAAACAUUGAUUUAAUGGGCCAAUGUGUAUUCUGCUUUAAGCCUCUAAAAAUACAUAUUCAAGUAUCCACAAAACCUUCCAAUUUCUUCAUUUCUACGAUGGAGGAGGCCUAUGCCAGAUCCGUUGCUGAGGUUAUUUUAUUGAUUAAUGCACCAGUAGGGGUGAUCACAGAAACAACUGCUGAGAAAACUCUUGAA